RNAcentral lists this ribosomal RNA (357 nucleotides) under uncultured bacterium. RNAcentral describes it as "partial 16S ribosomal RNA". It matches the Rfam family "Bacterial small subunit ribosomal RNA", at positions 338 to 709 of the family's 1533-position model. The record is from RNAcentral.
CCUACGGGUGGCAGCAGUGGGGAAUAUUGGGCAAUGGGCGCAAGCCUGACCCAGCAACGCCGCGUGAAGGAAGAAGGCUUUCGGGUUGUAAACUUCUUUUUUCAGGGACGUAGCAAGUGACGGUACCUGAGGAAUAAGCCACGGCUAACUACGUGCCAGCAGCCGCGGUAAUACGUAGGUGGCAAGCGUUAUCCGGAUUUACUGGGUGUAAAGGGCGUGUAGGCGGGGACGCAAGUCAGAUGUGAAAACCAGGGGCUCAACCGGUGGCUUGCAUUUGAAACUGUGUUUCUUGAGGACAGGAGAGGGAGGCGAAUUUCGUGGUGUAGCGGUGAAAUGCUUAGAUAUAAGGAGGAACCC